CCUUAACCAAACAAUUAAACCACCAAUUGUUCGCCAAAUAACUACGAGUUUCAACUUAAAAUUUAAAAGACUUGACGGUACCCCACAACAACCUAGAGGAGCCUGUCUAAUAAAUGAUACUCCACAAUUAACCCUACCUACCCUAGCCAGCCAGUCUAUAUACCGCCGUCGCCAGCCCACCUCAUGAGAGAACAAUAGUGGGCCAAAUAGUCAUACACUAACACGACAGGUCAAGGUGUAACUAAUGAGUAGGACAAAGAUGGGCUACAUUUUCUAACCAGAACAGAACGAAUUAAACUAUGAAAAAAAGAUUGAAGGCGGAUUUAGCAGUAUACUAAGAACAAAAUACUUAAUUGAAAUUAACGCAAUGGGGUGCGCACACACCGCCCGUCAUCCCUGACACCAGACAGACACAUCCAUAAUACUACACAAAACUAAACCAGGGCAAGUCGUAACA
This 457-nucleotide ribosomal RNA is filed under the name Oligodon sublineatus. Its description in RNAcentral is "partial 12S ribosomal RNA". Lineage: Eukaryota; Metazoa; Chordata; Lepidosauria; Squamata; Colubridae. The record is from RNAcentral.